GCGGACUGGUUCAGGUGGCGAGAACGCGACCUUGCCAAGGUCGAGGUGACCGGUUCGAUCCCGGUUGUCCGCUCCA
RNAcentral lists this transfer RNA (76 nucleotides) under Sulfuritalea sp. RNAcentral describes it as "tRNA-Gly". It matches the Rfam family "tRNA". Rfam says of the family: Transfer RNA (tRNA) molecules are approximately 80 nucleotides in length. Their secondary structure includes four short double-helical elements and three loops (D, anti-codon, and T loops). Further hydrogen bonds mediate the characteristic L-shaped molecular structure. tRNAs have two regions of fundamental functional importance: the anti-codon, which is responsible for specific mRNA codon recognition, and the 3' end, to which the tRNAs corresponding amino acid is attached (by aminoacyl-tRNA synthetases). tRNAs cope with the degeneracy of the genetic code in two manners: having more than one tRNA (with a specific anti-codon) for a particular amino acid; and 'wobble' base-pairing, i.e. permitting non-standard base-pairing at the 3rd anti-codon position. Lineage: Bacteria; Pseudomonadati; Pseudomonadota; Betaproteobacteria; Nitrosomonadales; Sterolibacteriaceae. The record is from RNAcentral.